This is a non-coding RNA of Aromia moschata, 81 nucleotides long. The record is from the annotation of a GenBank genome assembly. Lineage: Eukaryota; Metazoa; Arthropoda; Insecta; Coleoptera; Cerambycidae.
GCCGCGGCGAUAGCUCAGUGGAUAAAGCGCCAGGUGAGUACAUGGCGAUUAUCCGCGCGGGUUCGAAUCCCGCCUGUGGCA